UAAAAUUUGAAUUUGGUGUAGAAGCUAAAAUUCUAAGUCUGUUCGACUUUUAA
This 53-nucleotide transfer RNA is filed under the name Podagrica fuscipes. RNAcentral's name for it is "tRNA-Leu". The record is from RNAcentral. Lineage: Eukaryota; Metazoa; Arthropoda; Insecta; Coleoptera; Chrysomelidae.